UCCCGUCUUUGGCACGGAUGCCUGGUGCUUCUGUGAUGCGCUCUCGAAGAGUCGAGUUGUUUGGGAAUGCAGCUCAAAAUGGGUGGUGAACUCCAUCUAAAGCUAAAUAUUGGCGAGAGACCGAUAGCGAACAAGUACCGUGAGGGAAAGAUGAAAAGCACUUUGGAAAGAGAGUGAAACAGUACGUGAAAUUGUUGAAAGGGAAACGCUUGAAGUCAGUCGCGUCGACCGAGACCCAGCCUCGCCUUGGCUUGGUGUACUUCUCGGCACGACGGGUCAGCAUCAAUUUUGCCCCUCGGAUAAUGGCAGGGGAAAGGUGGCACCUUUACGGGUGUGUUAUAGUCUCCUGUCGAAUGCGAGGGGUGGGAUUGAGGAACUCAGCGCGCACCUCAGUGUCGGGGCUUCGGCCCACGUCACGCGCUUAGGAUGCUGGCGUAAUGGCUUUAAACGACCCGUCUUGAAACACGGACCAAGGAGUCCAACACGCCCGCGAGUGUUCGGGUGGAAAACCCGUGCGCGUAAUGAAAGUGAAAGUUGGGACCUCUGUCGUGGAGGGCACCGACGCCCGGACCAGACCUUCUGUGACGGAUCUGCGGUAGAGCGUGUGUGUUGGGACCCGAAAGAUGGUGAACUAUGCCUGAAUAGGGUGAAGCCAGAGGAAACUCUGGUGGAGGCUCGUAGCGAUUCUGACGUGCAAAUCGAUCGUCAAAUUUGGGUAUAGGGGCGAAAGACUAAUCGAACCAUCUAGUAGCUGGUUCCUGCC
RNAcentral lists this ribosomal RNA (763 nucleotides) under uncultured Lactarius. RNAcentral's name for it is "partial 28S ribosomal RNA". It matches the Rfam family "Eukaryotic large subunit ribosomal RNA", at positions 219 to 962 of the family's 3401-position model. Lineage: Eukaryota; Fungi; Basidiomycota; Agaricomycetes; Russulales; Russulaceae. The record is from RNAcentral.